This is a long non-coding RNA of Phascolarctos cinereus (koala), 803 nucleotides long. Lineage: Eukaryota; Metazoa; Chordata; Mammalia; Diprotodontia; Phascolarctidae. The record is from Ensembl.
AAGAUCGCAGACAACUUGACACUUGGAAAAGGGGAGGGAGGGAAAAACAGGGAGACAUUGGUUUAUAGUGAGUUUCGGGAUAUACAGCCCUCUCCUUUCAAAGAGUCUACUUAGAUUGCAAGAGAAAUACUUCUUUCUUGGAUUACUCAAACACGUCUGUAUGUUCUACUUCCAUGCCAGCUCAUGAGCAGAAGAUGGCUAGUGACUUAUCUUCUAGAGAAAAAUGACAGAAAUGACUAUUUGGAAUUAUUCCUGGAAUUAGACCAGCAUGAGGUCCCCUCUGCCAAUCUAAGGGGAUUCAGGGAUGGAGCUCAGCACUCUGAGGCGGAUGGGAAACUGACAGAAAAACUGUGCUCUGAACGCAUCUCUCAUGAUCCCACUACAGCAGGCGCUGGCUUUUGGCAUCAGCAGUACCAGCUGCAUUGGGAGAAGCCAAGCCUGUCAUACCAUCUUCACAUCAAAUCUUCAGUAUACAAGAGCCAAAGCAUAGCUAGAGCUUAAUGAAGAAACAAAUACAAAAGAGAAGAUUAGGCCUCGUUAACACUCACAUUCAUUUGUUCUUAUAGAAACUGCAAUGGAUGGGUUGUUUUAUAGAAUUCAUUCUUUCCCUCUAAAGGAGAAAAGUUACAUUGAUGAUGCAUUUUUUUUAUUGUAAAUACUCAGGGGAAAAAAAUCUUUCUGUUCCUGUAUAACUCUAAACCAGUAAAUUGUUUUGUCAAAAAUGCUACUUGAAACAGUUAGGUCUAUGACAACUGUCAAAAUUUGUAAAUAAAUACUUUUCAUUUUUAUGUUAAUAAUAUUGU